GUUUCAAAAAAUCACUGAACCAGCAGUUAGUACUUGAGAAGCAUCAACAGGAAUCCAACUUGAGGAGAGAAGGAUGCCCGAAACUAACAGGCAUCAAGUUCUUUUUAAACUUACAACUUUGGUAUUCUUAAGAAUAAUAUUUUCAAUGUAAUACACUUGAUCUAAAGGAGAAGAGCUUGAAGCGCUGUAGAUAGUUGAGGGUAGAGAGAAAUCUCAGCUCUGCCUCC
Non-coding RNA from Schizosaccharomyces pombe (fission yeast), 227 nucleotides. Lineage: Eukaryota; Fungi; Ascomycota; Schizosaccharomycetes; Schizosaccharomycetales; Schizosaccharomycetaceae. The record is from the annotation of a GenBank genome assembly.